ACGAACGCUGGCGGCGUGCUUAACACCUGCCAGUCGAACGGAAAGGCCCCUUUGGGGUACUCGAGUGGCGAACGGGUGGGUAACACGUGAGUAACCUGCCCUUGACUUCGGGAUAACUUCAGGAAACUGGGGCUAAUACCGGAUAGGAAUCCUUGCUUCUUGGUGGGGGUUGGAAAGCUUCGGCGGUUUUGGAUGGACUCGCGGCUUAUCAGCUUGUUGGUGGGGUAGUAGCUUACCAAGGCUUUGACGGGUAGCCGGCCUGGGAGGGCGACCGGCCACAUUGGGACUGAGAUACGGCCCAGACUCCUACGGGAGGCAGCAGUGGGGAAUAUUGCACAAUGGGCGGAAGCCUGAUGCAGCAACGCCGCGUGCGGGAUGACGGCCUUCGGGUUGUAAACCGCUUUCAGCAGGGGCGAAGCUUGUGGUGACGGUACCUGCAGAAGAAGCACCGGCUAACUACGUG
Molecule: ribosomal RNA, 463 nt
Filed under: uncultured bacterium
Lineage: Bacteria
Description: partial 16S ribosomal RNA
Rfam family: Bacterial small subunit ribosomal RNA
Source: RNAcentral